UAGGGAAUCUUCCACAAUGGGCGCAAGCCUGAUGGAGCAACACCGCGUGAGUGAAGAAGGGUUUCGGCUCGUAAAGCUCUGUUGUUGGAGAAGAACGUGCGUGAGAGUAACUGUUCACGCAGUGACGGUAUCCAACCAGACAGUCACGGCUAACUACGUGCCAUCCGCCGCGGUAAUACGUAGGUGGCAAGCGUUAUCCGGAUUUAUUGGGCGUAAAGCGAGCGCAGGCGGUUGCUUAGGUCUGAUGUGAAAGCCUUCGGCUUAACCGAAGAAGUGCAUCGGAAACCGGGCGACUUGAGUGCAGAAGAGGACAGUGGAACUCCAUGUGUAGCGGUGGAAUGCGUAGAUAUAUGGAAGAACACCAGUGGCGAAGGCGGCUGUCUGGUCUGCAACUGACGCUGAGGCACGAAAGUGCGGGGAUCAAACAGG
This 429-nucleotide ribosomal RNA is filed under the name uncultured bacterium. Its description in RNAcentral is "bacterial SSU rRNA". It matches the Rfam family "Bacterial small subunit ribosomal RNA", at positions 355 to 776 of the family's 1533-position model. The record is from RNAcentral.